Molecule: ribosomal RNA, 301 nt
Filed under: uncultured bacterium
Lineage: Bacteria
Description: partial 16S ribosomal RNA
Rfam family: Bacterial small subunit ribosomal RNA
Source: RNAcentral
CAGUCGCCACGGUAAUACGAAGGGUGCAAGCGUUAAUCGGAAUUACUGGGCGUAAAGCGUGCGUAGGCGGUUUGUUAAGUCUGCUGUGAAAUCCCCGGGCUCAACCUGGGAAUGGCAGUGGAUACUGGCAAGCUAGAGUGUGUCAGAGGAUGGUGGAAUUCCCGGUGUAGCGGUGAAAUGCGUAGAGAUCGGGAGGAACAUCAGUGGCGAAGGCGGCCAUCUGGGACAACACUGACGCUGAGGCACGAAAGCGUGGGGAGCAAACAGGAUUAGAUACCCCCGUAGUCCCUGUCUCUUAUAC